GAAAGGGAAACCAUUCGCGUUUCCCUCAUCAUCUCCGACCUCUCUCACUUCACUCGCUCUCUCAACCUCAACGCCACUCUCCACUUCUCUCAAACUCGCUCACUCUAAAUCAAAGAAACCUUCUCUCUCAUCUCUUCGCUCGUCUCACUCUCUCACAAUGCCUUUCUCUCGCUCACAUGCGUAUCACUCUCUCUCGUCCUCUCCACCUCUCUCAAUCGUUAAAACUCUCUCACUCGAGCUCUCAAACUCAAUCAAUCCUUCCCUAUCAAAUGCUCAAAGGAACCUAAACGAAAAAAAACUCACCCUCGGUGGCGGUAACGACGAGCUCCGGGUUUCGAAAGUGUAAUUGGUGUUCAAAGGAGAAAGCUUUCAGAAGCGCUUUUGGAUGCUCAGAAGUGCUUUGUCUUGUUUGAUGCUAUCUUCCGGAAAGUGAAAAAUUAUUGAAGACUCAAGAGUGGUUUCGGUUCCGGCUCCGGUUUAACAGUCUGAUGGACGAUAGGUCGUGGAUUCCGAGUCUUCAAAGCAAAGCAAAAUGGCUUGGCGCGUUGCGAACUCCAUACCAGCUGUUGUUGGAUUCGUACUGUGGUCUGCAAAGAGACAUAAUUAUGAUUGAAUUGCACUGUAACUUGUAUUGUUUGAAAUGUAUUCUAACAACCACGUAACACUUUGGUUCAAAACGGAAGGCUCUUUGCAGUAACCGGAGGUAGCAUCAUUGCCAUGCCAGCAGGGGUUGCUCCCGGAAAUUAUCUUUUACUGAGUCUAGAAACUCAGCAUCGGUCUGCUGAUAUGUUUCACUUAGCCAAUUUGGUAUCCGUCAAAACUUUGGAUGCUUCGUGAGAUUUUCAAAUACGUGAUCCUUCAAAUACUCAGCAGCACGAGAACCGCCAUGACCGUCAAAUAUUCCAAAUAAGCUCACUAAACGGCGGCCAAUGGUUGAUGUCUUAACAUCAUAGAAAUCUUCCAUGGAAUGAGGUUUUGGCCAGGUGACAUGGUGGACCGGGAACAAAGGAAUUGGCUGUAGUUUCCAAGAGCAAACUCUUACGAUGUUGGUGCAGUUGGUAGCAUUUUAAACAUAUCUUGUUUUACGUCACGGUUAUUCUUCCGGCAGGGUCACGGCUUAUCUGAGAAGUUUGAACACUUUCUUGUUGUUGCAAUGGCAUUGAUAGUGGAAUAGAUGAAAGUGGUGCAUUAGGAACAUGUGGCCAUCGAGCUUGCACCGACAUCUCAGUAGAGUGCUGGAAAGGAGAAACAUCAUACAUAGCCACUGGAGAUGCCAUUGGCAGAAGUGGUGAACCAGGAGCAAGAUGUUGAAUUUGAGAAAGCAUGCUAGCAGGAAAAUGUGAGAUCAUCUGGCCUGAAGAAUUCUGUGCAUUUGGUAAAGCAGGCCACAACGAAAUUGGCGGUGUCUCAUUUUUUUUCUUGAUUAUUAUGUUGUAAAAUGAUCAAUGGUAUUUGGAAUUCUUUUGAAGAUAUGCUCUACUGUAAACCUUGCAGUAGUUUUCACUUCAAAUUCAUUAUGUAUUUGUCUAAUAAUAACAUGCU
Molecule: long non-coding RNA, 1542 nt
Organism: Lathyrus oleraceus (garden pea)
Lineage: Eukaryota; Viridiplantae; Streptophyta; Magnoliopsida; Fabales; Fabaceae
Exons: 6
Source: RefSeq, a predicted model, not a curated record